UCUCAAAACAGACAAAAACUGUCCAGCAGGCCCGCAAGACACCUAACUGUUCACAGAUGGCCCUGGAGGUUGCUCUCAGGAAGACAGUAACUAGACACGGGGUUUACAAAAAUUCCUAGGCGUAAAUGUACAGAAAACGAGACAUCAGUGAAAGAGUUAAAGAAAACAAGACUAAGACAACACAGGACUCAGAAAUGUGGCUGACCACCUGACCAGAGCGGGAAGACCAGGCUCUGGAAUGACUGACUACCUCUCUCUCCUUCCCACCCUCUCCAAACCUGCUGCUGUAGAACAAAGACAGAUCUUUGUAACAUUUCGGGUCCUGAUCUCCCCCACACCCUGUGAGCAACUGUCAAACUCUGUUAGAGGCCAUGCUGAAGACCAACUGACCAGGGACAGUUGCAGUCUGAGAUCCUGGAGGUUAAUUCCUCAACAUUAUAGAGGGAUAUAGUCUUUAAUGAUCACAUUGCUAAUUUUAGUAUUUAAGGCUUACUUGGAAAUAGUCAUAUCCCUUCACAUAUUCAUCUGCUAAUCAUCUAUGUAGAUAAAAAGCUAAGAGAAAAAUACACAAUUUCCUAAUGG
This 582-nucleotide long non-coding RNA is filed under the name Mus caroli (Ryukyu mouse). Its description in RNAcentral is "lncRNA (MGP_CAROLIEiJ_G0003362.1)". The record is from RNAcentral. Lineage: Eukaryota; Metazoa; Chordata; Mammalia; Rodentia; Muridae.